This 874-nucleotide long non-coding RNA is filed under the name Vulpes vulpes (red fox). RNAcentral describes it as "lncRNA (ENSVVUG00000011629.1)". The record is from RNAcentral. Lineage: Eukaryota; Metazoa; Chordata; Mammalia; Carnivora; Canidae.
AUGCCAGAAUGCCGUGCGACCCCUGGACCAGUUCUCAUCGCCUCCAUUUUCCCUUGGCCCGCAAACCGCCCCACCUCCGCGCUACCCUUUUCGGGGCUGCGUCCCACCCACCCGCAAACCCAGCUCAACCCCGCCCCCGCUCGCCUCUCGGGGAAGACUUCCUUCCCACCCACGCCCAACCUCCUCCCACAAGCAAAACAUUCCAGACAGGCCCCUAGCCUCCAAAUACCUCAGUUAACAGUAUUUCCCACACCUCCCUGCUUCCAGCUACAACGGCUCUUUUUCACCAAGCGGACCCCAGACUGGAGACACAGGGGUCGGCCUCGAAGGAUUUUAAACACUGGAAAGCAUCUGGCCAAUAAGAUUUCCCAAACCAAUUGGAUUUGUAAGCUGCCAGUUUAAGAGCUGGCCUUGUAAGGAUUCUUCACCAACUUGGCACACCGAAAAAUCAUCACAAUUAGGAACAGAAACAGAAGAACAACAAAGGCAAUGGCGAAGGCUUUGUCUACGUCAACACUGCUUGACAGGCUUGAAUCAUCCAUGAGAACACACACCUCUUUACCCUUGUUUAGCUGUAGCUACCUCUUCAGGUAUAUCUUCAGGUUUGUCAUAUUCCUAGACAAAAGAGGAUAAAACAAGCUUAUUGGUUCAUAUAUGUAUGCAUGUGUUUUCUUAAUAACAUUAUGUUAGGGACACCUGGGUGGCUCAGUGGUUGAGCAUCUGCCUUUGGCUCAGGGUCUGAUCCCAGAGUUCUGAGAUCGAGUCCCACAUCGGGCUCCCUGCAUGGAGCCUGCUUCUCCCUUUGCCUAUGUCUCUGCCUCUCUCUGUGUGUCUCUCGUGAAUAAAUAAAUAAAAUCUUUAAAAAAAAGUUGCA